Molecule: non-coding RNA, 17 nt
Filed under: Puccinia brachypodii
Lineage: Eukaryota; Fungi; Basidiomycota; Pucciniomycetes; Pucciniales; Pucciniaceae
Also listed under: 14 other names
Source: RNAcentral
UUAAGACCUCAAAUCAG